This 451-nucleotide ribosomal RNA is filed under the name uncultured organism. RNAcentral's name for it is "partial 16S ribosomal RNA". It matches the Rfam family "Bacterial small subunit ribosomal RNA", at positions 330 to 797 of the family's 1533-position model. The record is from RNAcentral.
CGUACACUCCUACGGGAGGCAGCAGUGGGGAAUAUUGGACAAUGGGCGCAAGCCUGAUCCAGCCAUGCCGCGUGAGUGAUGAAGGCCCUAGGGUUGUAAAGCUCUUUCACCGGUGAAGAUAAUGAUGGUAACCGGAGAAUAAGCCCCGGCUAACUUCGUGCCAGCAGCCGCGUUAAUACGAAGGGGGCUAGCGUUGUUCGGAUUUACUGGGCGUAAAGCGCACGUAGGCGGACUAUUAAGUCAGGGGUGAAAUCCCGGGGCUCAACCCCGGAACUGCCUUUGAUACUGGUAGUCUUGAGUUCGAGAGAGGUGAGUGGAAUUCCGAGUGUAGAGGUGAAAUUCGUAGAUAUUCGGAGGAACACCAGUGGCGAAGGCGGCUCACUGGCUCGAUACUGACGCUGAGGUGCGAAAGCGUGGGGAGCAAACAGGAUUAGAAACCCCGGUAGUCCCA